CCCUUAGAUGUCCUGGGCCGCACGCGUGCUACACUGACGCCUACAGCGAGUACUUCCCAGCCCCGAGAGGCGGCUGGUAAUCAGCAAUAGGCGUCGUGAUGGGGAUAGAUCUUUGGAAUUAUGGAUCUUGAACGAGGAAUGCCUAGUAAGCGCAGGUCAUUAGCCUGCGCUGAUUACGUCCCUGCCCUUUGUACACACCGCCCGUCGCUACUACCGAUUUCGAGUGGUCCGGUGAAGCUUUUGGACUGCGCAUGGCUUCGUGCCGUGUCGCGGAAAGUCAGCUAAACCUUAUCACUUAGAGGAAGUAAAAGUCGUAACA
RNAcentral lists this ribosomal RNA (319 nucleotides) under uncultured eukaryote. RNAcentral's name for it is "partial 18S ribosomal RNA". It matches the Rfam family "Eukaryotic small subunit ribosomal RNA", at positions 1470 to 1796 of the family's 1831-position model. The record is from RNAcentral.